Molecule: long non-coding RNA, 323 nt
Organism: Myotis myotis
Lineage: Eukaryota; Metazoa; Chordata; Mammalia; Chiroptera; Vespertilionidae
Exons: 3
Source: RefSeq, a predicted model, not a curated record
GCUAGCUCGAAUAAAGACUCAUUUUGCUUUUGCAUCGGACUCGGCUGGCUCCCUGGUGGUCUUUUGGGGAUCCUGAAAUCUGGGCAUAACAACUGGGGGCUCGUCCGGGAUCCCAAGACCCUUGAGGGACCCCUGAUCCAGAGAGUCUGACUGGCCGCGUGCCCGAAGCGGUCUAGGUGGAUGCACUGCUGAAGGACCACGGGCGGGGAGAGUCGGAAGACGUUCUGCUCUUCAGGAGGGAUGUGUAUUCCCCCUCGAGGAUCUGAGACGAGGGCUCUCUCUCUCUGCCCCCUGCUGCUGCGUUGGUGAGUGUGGUGGACGGA